This 254-nucleotide ribosomal RNA is filed under the name uncultured bacterium. Its description in RNAcentral is "partial 16S ribosomal RNA". It matches the Rfam family "Bacterial small subunit ribosomal RNA", at positions 524 to 776 of the family's 1533-position model. The record is from RNAcentral.
UACGUAGGGACCAAGCGUUGUUCGGAUUUACUGGGCGUAAAGGGCGCGUAGGCGGCAAUUCAAGUCAUCUGUGAAAUCUCCGGGCUUAACCCGGAACGGUCAGGUGAUACUGUUUUGCUAGAGUGCGGAAGGGGCAAUCGGAAUUCUCGGUGUAGCGGUGAAAUGCGUAGAUAUCGAGAGGAACACCAGAGGUGAAGACGGGUUGCUGGGCCGACACUGACGCUGACAGCGCGAAAGCUAGGGGAGCGAAAGGG